AUUGAACGCUGGCGGCAGGCUUAACACAUGCAAGUCGAACGGGGUGAUGGUGCUUGCACUAUCACUUAGCGGCGGACGGGUGAGUAAUGCUUAGGAAUCUGCCUAUUAGUGGGGGGCAACAUCUCGAAAGGGAUGCUAAUACCGCAUACGUCCUACGGGAGAAAGCAGGGGAUCACUUGUGACCUUGCGCUAAUAGAUGAGCCUAAGUCGGAUUAGCUAGUUGGUGGGGUAAAGGCCUACCAAGGCGACGAUCUGUAGCGGGUCUGAGAGGAUGAUCCGCCACACUGGGACUGAGACACGGCCCAGACUCCUACGGGAGGCAGCAGUGGGGAAUAUUGGACAAUGGGGGGAACCCUGAUCCAGCCAUGCCGCGUGUGUGAAGAAGGCCUUAUGGUUGUAAAGCACUUUAAGCGAGGAGGAGGCUCUUUUGGUUAAUACCCAAGAUGAGUGGACGUUACUCGCAGAAUAAGCACCGGCUAACUCUGUGCCAGCAGCCGCAGUAA
Molecule: ribosomal RNA, 503 nt
Filed under: uncultured bacterium
Lineage: Bacteria
Description: partial 16S ribosomal RNA
Rfam family: Bacterial small subunit ribosomal RNA
Source: RNAcentral